AGUGAACGCUGGCGGUAGGCCUAACACAUGCAAGUCGAACGGCAGCACAGUAAGAGCUUGCUCUUACGGGUGGCGAGUGGCGGACGAGUGAGGAAUACAUCGGAAUCUACUUUUUCGUGGGGGAUAACGUAGGGAAACUUACGCUAAUACCGCAUACGACCUACGGGUGAAAGCAGGGGAUCUUCGGACCUUGCGCGAUUGAAUGAGCCGAUGUCGGAUUAGCUAGUUGGCGGGGUAAAGGCCCACCAAGGCGACGAUCCGUAGCUGGUCUGAGAGGAUGAUCAGCCACACUGGAACUGAGACACGGUCCAGACUCCUACGAGAGGGAGCAGUGGGGAAUAUUGGACAAUGGGCGCAAGCCUGAUCCAGCCAUACCGCGUGGGUGAAGAAGGCCUUCGGGUUGUAAAGCCCUUUUGUUGGGAAAGAAAAGCAGCAGGUUAAUACCCCGCUGUUCUGACGGUACCAAAAGAAUAAGCACCGGCUAACUUCGUG
RNAcentral lists this ribosomal RNA (492 nucleotides) under uncultured bacterium. Its description in RNAcentral is "partial 16S ribosomal RNA". It matches the Rfam family "Bacterial small subunit ribosomal RNA", at positions 29 to 507 of the family's 1533-position model. The record is from RNAcentral.